GACGAACGCUGGCGGCGUGCUUAACACAUGCAAGUCGAGCGGUAAGGCCCUUUCGGGGGUACACGAGCGGCGAACGGGUGAGUAACACGUGGGUGACCUGCCCUCAGCUCUGGGAUAAGCCUGGGAAACUGGGUCUAAUACUGGAUAUGACUCCACGGUGCAUGUCGUGGGGUGGAAAGCCUUGUGCGGCUGAGGAUGGGCCCGCGGCCUAUCAGCUUGUUGGUGGGGUGANGGCCUACCAAGGCGACGACGGGUAGCCGGCCUGAGAGGGCGACCGGCCACACUGGGACUGAGACACGGCCCUGACUCCUACGGGAGGCAGCAGUGGGGAAUCUUGCGCAAUGGGCGAAAGCCUGACGCAGCGACGCCGCGUGAGGGAUGACGGCCU
This 388-nucleotide ribosomal RNA is filed under the name uncultured bacterium. Its description in RNAcentral is "bacterial SSU rRNA". It matches the Rfam family "Bacterial small subunit ribosomal RNA", at positions 28 to 417 of the family's 1533-position model. The record is from RNAcentral.